Molecule: ribosomal RNA, 858 nt
Filed under: uncultured bacterium
Lineage: Bacteria
Description: bacterial SSU rRNA
Rfam family: Bacterial small subunit ribosomal RNA
Source: RNAcentral
UGCAGUCGAGCGACUGAUUAGAAGCUUGCUUCUAUGACGUUAGCGGCGGACGGGUGAGUAACACGUGGGCAACCUGCCUGUAAGACUGGGAUAACUUCGGGAAACCGAAGCUAAUACCGGAUAGGAUCUUCUCCUUCAUGGGAGAUGAUUGAAAGAUGGUUUCGGCUAUCACUUACAGAUGGGCCCGCGGUGCAUUAGCUAGUUGGUGAGGUAACGGCUCACCAAGGCAACGAUGCAUAGCCGACCUGAGAGGGUGAUCGGCCACACUGGGACUGAGACACGGCCCAGACUCCUACGGGAGGCAGCAGUAGGGAAUCUUCCGCAAUGGACGAAAGUCUGACGGAGCAACGCCGCGUGAGUGAUGAAGGCUUUCGGGUCGUAAAACUCUGUUGUUAGGGAAGAACAAGUACGAGAGUAACUGCUCGUACCUUGACGGUACCUAACCAGAAAGCCACGGCUAACUACGUGCCAGCAGCCGCGGUAAUACGUAGGUGGCAAGCGUUAUCCGGAAUUAUUGGGCGUAAAGCGCGCGCAGGCGGUUUCUUAAGUCUGAUGUGAAAGCCCACGGCUCAACCGUGGAGGGUCAUUGGAAACUGGGGAACUUGAGUGCAGAAGAGAAAAGCGGAAUUCCACGUGUAGCGGUGAAAUGCGUAGAGAUGUGGAGGAACACCAGUGGCGAAGGCGGCUUUUUGGUCUGUAACUGACGCUGAGGCGCGAAAGCGUGGGGAGCAAAACAGGAUUAGAUACCCUGGUAGUCCACGCCGUAAACGAUGAGUGCUAAGUGUUAGAGGGUUUCCCCCCCUUUAGUGCUGCACUAACGCAUUUAACACUCCGCCCUGGGGAGUACGGUCCCAGACU